GAUGAACGCUGGCGGCGUGCCUAAUACAUGCAAGUCGAGCGAACGGACGAGAAGCUUGCUUUUCUGAUGUUAGCGGCGGACGGGUGAGUAACACGUGGAUAACCUCCCUAUAAGACUGGGAUCACUUCGGGAAACCGGCGCUUAUACCGGAUAAUAUUUUGAACCGCAUGGUUCAAUAGUGAAAGACGGUCUUGCUGUCACUUCUAGAUGGAUCCGCGCUGCAUUAGCUAGUUGGUAAGGUAACGGCUUACCAAGGCAACGAUGCAUAGCCGACCUGAGAGGGUGAUAGGCCACACGGGAACUGAGACACGGUCAAGACGCCUAAGGGAGGCAGCAGUAGGGAAUCUUCCGCAAUGGGCGAAAGCCUGACGGAGCAAGGGCGCGUGAGUGAUGAAGGUCUUCGGAUCGUAAAACUCUGCUAUUAGGGAAGAACAUAUGUGUAAGUAACUGUGCACAGCUUGACGGUACCUAAUCAGAAAGCCACGGCUAACUACGUG
Molecule: ribosomal RNA, 497 nt
Filed under: uncultured bacterium
Lineage: Bacteria
Description: partial 16S ribosomal RNA
Rfam family: Bacterial small subunit ribosomal RNA
Source: RNAcentral